Molecule: long non-coding RNA, 585 nt
Filed under: Oryctolagus cuniculus (rabbit)
Lineage: Eukaryota; Metazoa; Chordata; Mammalia; Lagomorpha; Leporidae
Description: lncRNA (ENSOCUG00000035529.1)
Source: RNAcentral
GUGCUUGUCCCUGGGGCUCAGUGAGCAGGGUUCAGAGUGCUUGUCCCUGGGGCUCAGUGAGCGGGAUUGAGUGCUUGUCCCUGGGGCUCAGUAAACGGAGUUCAGAGUGCUUGUCCCUGGGGCACAGUGAGCGGGAUUGAGUGCUUGUCCCUGGGGCUCAGUGAGCGGGGUUCAAAGUGCUUGUCCCUGGGGCUCAGUGAGCGGGGUUCAGAGUGCUUGUCCCUGGGGCUCAGUGAACAUCCCAGCAAGGCUGUAGUCAGAACAUAGAAACAUUCUGUGAAUGAGACGUUGUAUGUUCAGAUUUUAUAAAAGCCGUUUUUAAACAAGCCCAAUUUACAGCCGUAUAUUUUCUUAUGAUGUAAUUUAUGAAAAAGAUGUCUGUUCUAACAGGUGCUCUAACACCACUGUUGUUGGGUUUUAUUGUUUGGUGAUAAAUGUGUACAAUCUUUCUAUGGGAAACUGUGUACUGUGAUGUAAAGUCUGGGCAAAAUGUACAUAAUCCUUGUAUAUAAUUGUGUAUUUGAUUAUAAUUACUGAUUGUAAAGAUUUAAUAAAACAUGUAAAUACUUGGGUCUAGUUUUACUG